Molecule: long non-coding RNA, 1299 nt
Filed under: Mytilus galloprovincialis (Mediterranean mussel)
Lineage: Eukaryota; Metazoa; Mollusca; Bivalvia; Mytilida; Mytilidae
Source: RNAcentral
AUCCAAAAAUUAUCUUGGAAUAACCAAACAUUUAUAUAUAAAAAUUAUCGGUUGAUUCACACAGAAGAAUAAAGUGGUGAUAAAAUCAACACUUUCAAGAUAUAAAAGGUCAAAAUCUUCGUCAAAACUUAAAAGUUUCGUGUGCAUUUGAAUAAGUUCACAGCAUAAUGAAAAUGAGUAGUCAAGUUAAUGUGACUACAAUUUUAUUGUUAACACUUUCCCAAAAAUGUAACCUAAUAUCGAACAGACAGACUGGUACACAGACAAGACAACAUGAUGCCCAAUACUGUAGAAGACAUGGCAUCGACAUGCAGAGAAUUUAUCAUAAUGCCACUGUUAGGGUUAAAAAAACACAACAUUGGAUACAAAAACCUUUUUUUCACUAAACUUUUGUUCCUUCAGCACUCUAUAAUAAUAAAAAAAAAGCAUUUGACAGAUUUAAUUGCUACUUACAAUAACUUAAGGCAGACGGCAAGAUAGCAACCACAAGAAAAAAUGAAACUUAAAAAAAUUGUGUAAAAUAUACUUUUAAGCAAACAUUUUAUUUCAGUCAAAUUUUUAGGUGAAAAUACAAUUCCCUAGCAGCAAUUAAUGAAAACAGCAAUUCCUCAACGAAAUAUACCUCUUUCCUAAUUUGAGUCCAUGUUAAUAAAAUGAUUUAUUUCCACAAUUUUCUAAAAUAUUUUGUUGAUUUUCUAAGAUUUAUCUCCCUUAAGUGCUGACUAGGCAUCAAUAUCCAUGACAACCAUUAGAUGUAAUAUUACAUCAAUGAUUCUAAUAAUUUUCCAUAAAGUUUGUCUGUACACACUAGUCCUCAUAAUUUUAACCAUUACUACCCUGCCCCGUUUUGAAUCUGAAAUUUCAUUCUUACUUUUAAUUUUGAAAUCUUUUUCAACUAUCCAUUUCCUACUCUUUGUCAUUUUUCAGCACUAUUGUAGGGAAACCCCCCGGAAUCAUUCAGCCAUAAAUUCAAAAUACAAUAUAGUAUUGAGAAAUCAGAAACCUCCGAUAUUGCACAUUAAAGUCAGAAACUGGCCAUGAAUUAGUUACAAAGCAUAGAGAAAUAUAUAUAGGAGGUAAAGACAUCUAUAAAUUAUAAUACUGUUAAUUAUUUCACAGCAAAAACCAUUAAUGUGUUAAUCACUUUUCCAUCAAGUGGUCAAUUGUAUUUAGAUUACUAAUUAAGCAUCUUUUAAUAAAAUUUUGACACAGAGAUAUGUCUUGUCUGUAUGUUGUUUUUUUUUAAGUACAAUACUUAGUUGAAAUUAAAUAAUCUAAACUUCCACGUGUAAAUCAUGC